Molecule: ribosomal RNA, 450 nt
Filed under: uncultured bacterium
Lineage: Bacteria
Description: partial 16S ribosomal RNA
Rfam family: Bacterial small subunit ribosomal RNA
Source: RNAcentral
GUGGGGAAUAUUGGACAAUGGGCGAAAGCCUGAUCCAACCAUGCCGCGUGUGUGAAGAAGGUCUUCGGAUUGUAAAGCACUUUAAGUUGGGAGGAAGGGCAGUAAGUUAAUACCUUGCUGUUUUGACGUUACCGACAGAAUAAGCACCGGCUAACUUCGUGCCAGCAGUCGCGGUAAUACGAAGGGUGCAAGCGUUAAUCGGAAUUACUGGGCGUAAAGCGCGCGUAGGUGGUUUUGUAAGUUGGAGGUGAAAUCCCCGGGCUCAACCUGGGAACUGCCUCCAAAACUGCAUGACUAGAGUACGGUAGAGGGUAGUGGAAUUUCCUGUGUAGCGGUGAAAUGCGUAGAUAUAGGAAGGAACACCAGUGGCGAAGGCGACUACCUGGACUGAUACUGACACUGAGGUGCGAAAGCGUGGGGAGCAAACAGGAUUAGAUACCCCAGUAGUCC